Heterocephalus glaber (naked mole-rat) is the source of this 72-nucleotide non-coding RNA. The record is from Rfam. Lineage: Eukaryota; Metazoa; Chordata; Mammalia; Rodentia; Bathyergidae.
GGAUAUGUAGCUCAGUGGUAGAGCACUAGCCUAGUAUACAUGAGGUCCUGGGUUCAAGCCCCAGUAUGACAA